This 455-nucleotide ribosomal RNA is filed under the name uncultured Thioalkalispira sp. RNAcentral's name for it is "bacterial SSU rRNA". It matches the Rfam family "Bacterial small subunit ribosomal RNA", at positions 925 to 1382 of the family's 1533-position model. Lineage: Bacteria; Pseudomonadati; Pseudomonadota; Gammaproteobacteria; Chromatiales; Thioalkalispiraceae. The record is from RNAcentral.
ACAAGCGGUGGAGUAUGUGGUUAAUUCGAUGCAACGCGAAAACCUUACCUGCCCUUGACAUCCUCGGAACUUGUCAGAGAUGACUUGGUGCCUUCGGAACCGAGAGACAGGUGCUGCAUGGCUGUCGUCGGCUCGUGUCGUGAGAUGUUGGGUUAAGUCCCGUAACGAGCGCAACCCUUGUCCAUAGUUGCCAGCACGUAAAGGUGGGAACUCUAUGGAGACUGCCGGUGACAAACCGGAGGAAGGUGGGGAUGACGUCAAGUCAUCAUGGCCCUUAUGGGCAGGGCUACACACGUACUACAAUGGUCGGUACAAAGGGCUGCCAACCCGCGAGGGGGAGCCAAUCCCAGAAAACCUGUCUCAGUCCGGAUUGAAGUCUGCAACUCGACUUCAUGAAGGCGGAAUCGCUAGUAACCGCGAAUCAGCAGGUCGCGGUGAAUACGUUCCCGGGCCUU